Molecule: ribosomal RNA, 137 nt
Filed under: uncultured bacterium
Lineage: Bacteria
Description: partial 16S ribosomal RNA
Rfam family: Bacterial small subunit ribosomal RNA
Source: RNAcentral
GGGGGAAUAUUGGACAAUGGGGGGAACCCUGAUCCAGCGACGCCGCGUGAGUGAAGAAGUAUUUCGGUAUGUAAAGCUCUAUCAGCAGGGGAAGAAAGAAAUGACGGUUACCUGACUUAGAAGCCCCGGCUAACUAC